GAUGACGACGGAGGAGAAAUGGUGGUGAGAUGGAGGUGCGGCGAUCUUAUAUGGUGGGGGAGGGGAUGAGAAAUGAGAAGAAAAGGGUGACUUAUGUGGUGAAAUGGAAGAAAAAAAAGGGAGGAGCAAGGUGGUGGACGACAAAGAGAGGGGAAGAGAGAAAAAUGAAAAAAAUAAAAAGUGAAAUGGAUAUCUCUAUGUGCAUGGCCGGCCAAGGUAAGGUAGGGAGGGAUUUUUGUUUGUUGAAGGGACAAAGGCAUGAAAAGGGGAUCAUGGGAGCAAAACGGGGAGAAAAAGGGGAAUGUUAACCUUCU
RNAcentral lists this long non-coding RNA (314 nucleotides) under Gossypium raimondii (Peruvian cotton). RNAcentral's name for it is "long non-coding RNA (GRAI_LNC002194)". Lineage: Eukaryota; Viridiplantae; Streptophyta; Magnoliopsida; Malvales; Malvaceae. The record is from RNAcentral.